GACGAACGCUGGCGGCGUGCUUAACACAUGCAAGUCGAACGGUGAAGCUCCAGCUUGCUGGAGUGGAUCAGUGGCGAAAGGGUGAGUAACACGUGAGCAACCUGCCCCUGACUCUGGAAUAAGCGCUGGAAACGGGGUCUAAUACUGGGUACGAGAAGGGUCCGCAUGGGCACUUUCUGGAAAGUUUUUCGGUUGGGGAUGGGCUCGCGGCCUAUCAGCUUGUUGGUGAGGUAAUGGCUCACCAAGGCGAAGACGGGUAGCCGGCCUGAGAGGGCGACCGGCCACACUGGGACUGAGACACGGCCCAGACUCCUACGGGAGGCAGCAGUGGGGAAUAUUGCACAAUGGGCGAAAGCCUGAUGCAGCGACGCCGCGUGAGGGAUGACGGCCUUCGGGUUGUAAACCUCUUUCAGUAGGGAAGAAGCGAAAGUGACGGUACCUGCAGAAGAAGCACCGGCUAACUACGUG
RNAcentral lists this ribosomal RNA (468 nucleotides) under uncultured bacterium. Its description in RNAcentral is "partial 16S ribosomal RNA". It matches the Rfam family "Bacterial small subunit ribosomal RNA", at positions 28 to 507 of the family's 1533-position model. The record is from RNAcentral.